CAAGAUUUUGUUCGUGAAGAGCUCAUAUUCGGGGAAAACAUUUGCGUACGCAAGAUGCACGUCGGAAGUUAUUCAGUGGGUGUAGGGGGUUAUAUCCGCAUUAUAUCCCCUUAUAACCUCCCUGUAACUUAACUGUACCUAUCGGAACUACAAAAGUGCGGAACAUAUUUGUAGGUUACAUGUAGAUUAUAAGUCGAUUACAUAGGAUAUAAUGCGGAUUUAAUACCCUGAUAAGUCUAAAUAACCUCCAAAUAUUUUCCCAUAUUCGGACAGGUAGGCAAAUGAGCAAUAAUUUUUUUGUCUUCUAACUGUAAAUGAGCCAAACACUUUUUUAUUUUUAUCUGAAAUUGAGUCGUUCAUUGGAGUGCUCUCUUCGCCCCUCUUCUCGCACUUUCCUUGCCUGCCGUCCACCGUCUUCUGCAGCAUCACUCGCACAUGGACGAUCCCUUUGCCUCCAUCAUAUCUGAAUGCAUAAUACCCCCAGCGGUAGAAGAAACCCUCCGUCAUGCACCGGUAAUCGGCGAACCCUCCUCGUCAUCUCAAAUCCGCAGCCUCGACGGACAGACCUUCUCCCCUGCUCCUAAUCCCAGCGCCUCAUCGGAGAUUCGUAGGCUUGCUAAGUCUCCAUUGAAUCCGCUAGAUAAAGAGAGCCUAACGGACAUCGCUUCCCGCAAAGAGCCGUCUUCGUUGCCUCCGCCGCGCCUUCGGCGGGAAGAUUUAAUCAACCUAAUCAAAUAUUUCGCCGAAAAUUCUGACAGAAGCUUAGGUCGUGUAGACAUUCUCGAAAUUGCCGAAAGAAAAGGUCUUUCCUUUCCUCCACCCGAGUGGUGGCGACCUGGUGGCUACAAAAAGGCUCCGUAGAUGCUGGGUGUUAUGAUGCUUUCCUAUUUUGGGGCAGAGAUGAUUUUGCUUUCUAGCUUUCUGCACCUAUCCUACUUCUAUGACGCCUUCCAACUGUUUGAUUAAUUGACAAUGACAGUUUUUAGAAUGACGUCUCUGUUUAGCCGGCCUAGCAUUGCCAACCAGCACGAGCCAUUAUAGUGCACUCAAAAGUUGACUGGCCAAGGAAAGGACAAUUUGACUACAGUAUUGAGGAAAGCAAGUUAUAGACUAGAUGAACUUCAGAGAUUCUGUGUACAGUCUCUGAGAAGCGUGGGAU
RNA transcript from Phalaenopsis equestris, 1159 nucleotides. RefSeq lists it as uncharacterized. The transcript has 4 exons. The record is from RefSeq and is a predicted model, not a curated record. Lineage: Eukaryota; Viridiplantae; Streptophyta; Magnoliopsida; Asparagales; Orchidaceae.